This 327-nucleotide ribosomal RNA is filed under the name uncultured Glomus. RNAcentral's name for it is "SSU rRNA". It matches the Rfam family "Eukaryotic small subunit ribosomal RNA", at positions 569 to 905 of the family's 1831-position model. The record is from RNAcentral. Lineage: Eukaryota; Fungi; Glomeromycota; Glomeromycetes; Glomerales; Glomeraceae.
AGCAGCCGCGGUAAUUCCAGCUCCAAUAGCGUAUAUUAAAGUUGCUGCAGUUAAAAAGCUCGUAGUUGAAUUUCGGGACUAAUAUGUUGGUCGUGCCUCGGUACGUACUGAUAUUUUUGGUUUCUCCCUUCUGACGAACCUUGAUGUCAUUAAUUUGGUGUCUUGGGAAAUCAGGACUGUUACUUUGAAAAAUUGAGUGUUUAAAGCAGGCUCACGCUUGAAUACAUUAGCAUGGAAUAAUGAAAUAGGACGUUUGAUUCUAUUUUGUUGGUUCUAGGAUCGACGUAAUGAUUAAUAGGGAUAGUUGGGGCAUUAGUAUUCAAUUGU